RNAcentral lists this ribosomal RNA (500 nucleotides) under uncultured bacterium. RNAcentral describes it as "partial 16S ribosomal RNA". It matches the Rfam family "Bacterial small subunit ribosomal RNA", at positions 30 to 523 of the family's 1533-position model. The record is from RNAcentral.
AUUGAACGCUGGCGGCAGGCCUAACACAUGCAAGUCGAGCGGAUGAGUGGAGCUUGCUCCAUGAUUCAGCGGCGGACGGGUGAGUAAUGCCUAGGAAUCUGCCUGGUAGUGGGGGACAACGUUUCGAAAGGAACGCUAAUACCGCAUACGUCCUACGGGAGAAAGUGGGGGAUCUUCGGACCUCACGCUAUCAGAUGAGCCUAGGUCGGAUUAGCUAGUUGGUGAGGUAAAGGCUCACCAAGGCGACGAGCCGUAACUGGUCUGAGAGGAUGAUCAGUCACACUGGAACUGAGACACGGUCCAGACUCCUACGGGAGGCAGCAGUGGGGAAUAUUGGACAAUGGGCGAAAGCCUGAUCCAGCCAUGCCGCGUGUGUGAAGAAGGUCUUCGGAUUGUAAAGCACUUUAAGUUGGGAGGAAGGGCAGUAAGUUAAUACCUUGCUGUUUUGACGUUACCAACAGAAUAAGCACCGGCUAACUUCGUGCCAGCCGCCGCCGUAA